Molecule: ribosomal RNA, 945 nt
Filed under: uncultured bacterium
Lineage: Bacteria
Description: bacterial SSU rRNA
Rfam family: Bacterial small subunit ribosomal RNA
Source: RNAcentral
AUACGGAGGAUCCGAGCGUUAUCCGGAUUUAUUGGGUUUAAAGGGAGCGUAGAUGGAUGUUUAAGUCAGUUGUGAAAGUUUGCGGCUCAACCGUAAAAUUGCAGUUGAUACUGGAUAUCUUGAGUGCAGUUGAGGCAGGCGGAAUUCGUGGUGUAGCGGUGAAAUGCUUAGAUAUCACGAAGAACUCCGAUUGCGAAGGCAGCCUGCUAAGCUGCAACUGACAUUGAGGCUCGAAAGUGUGGGUAUCAAACAGGAUUAGAUACCCUGGUAGUCCACACGGUAAACGAUGAAUACUCGCUGUUUGCGAUAUACGGCAAGCGGCCAAGCGAAAGCGUUAAGUAUUCCACCUGGGGAGUACGCCGGCAACGGUGAAACUCAAAGGAAUUGACGGGGGCCCGCACAAGCGGAGGGACAUGUGGUUUAAUUCGAUGAUACGCGAGGAACCUUACCCGGGCUUAAAUUGCAGAUGAAUUACGGUGAAAGCCGUAAGCCGCAAGGCAUCUGUGAAGGUGCUGCAUGGUUGUCGUCAGCUCGUGCCGUGAGGUGUCGGCUUAAGUGCCAUAACGAGCGCAACCCUUGUUGUCAGUUACUAACAGGUUCCGCUGAGGACUCUGACAAGACUGCCAUCGUAAGAUGUGAGGAAGGUGGGGAUGACGUCAAAUCAGCACGGCCCUUACGUCCGGGGCUACACACGUGUUACAAUGGGGGGUACAGAGGGCCGCUACCACGCGAGUGGAUGCCAAUCCCCAAAACCUCUCUCAGUUCGGACUGGAGUCUGCAACCCGACUCCACGAAGCUGGAUUCGCUAGUAAUCGCGCAUCAGCCACGGCGCGGUGAAUACGUUCCCGGGCCUUGUACACACCGCCCGUCAAGCCAUGGGAGCCGGGGGUACCUGAAGUGCGUAACCGCGAGGAGCGCCCUAGGGUAAAACUGGUGACUGGGGCU